GGGGACGUAACAAAGCGACCCAGGAAUGCUUGGGCGUGCCUCCACCCACGCCGGCGUCGGCGGGCGUAUUUCGCCUCACAGUAGGUCGCCGCGACCCGUUGCUUUUGGGGACGUCGAAGGCCCGGACGGAUUGGUACCCUACCGGCUGGGGAUGCGGCUUCGGCUUCUCCUCUUGUCCGGUGGGCGAAACCGCCGGUGUCCUGGCUGCCCUGCGACGGUCGUAGAGACGAGCCCUUCCCAUUCGUGGGGGGUGGCUCUCGCGGCGUGCAAAAGGUCGGUGAUCCACCCGACCCGUCUUGAAACACGGACCAAGGAGUCUAACAUGUGUGCGAGUCAGUGGGCGCACUAAACCCAGAGGCGUAAUGAAAGUGACACGGGUUCGGCUGUCGCCUCGUGUGGCAGCCGGACUCAGGGCCGAUCCCUCACCGGUUGGCCUCGCCUCUCUCUUCCGCGUCUCGGUAAGCCGGGUGAGCUAUUUUCCCCGGCCAAUGCUGCGGGGCGCGGGGGGAGGCGGGGUGCGAUGGUGUCCGUCAAAAAGAGCCUGCUGUUGCAGGGGGGCGCAGGCCCGGGACUUGCCAGGACGCCGCGAGACUGUCACUUUGCUGUGAGGCUCCAGGGCCGAUCAGCGGGUCAUGCGUGCAGUCGGCAAGUACCAUGAGCAGACAUGUUGGGACCCGAAAGAUGGUGAACUAUGCCUGGCCAGGAUGAAGCCAGAGGAAACUCUGGUGGAGGUCCGUAGCGAUUCUGACGUGCAAAUCGAUCGUCGGAGCUGGGUAUAGGGGCGA
This 785-nucleotide ribosomal RNA is filed under the name Procambarus steigmani. RNAcentral describes it as "eukaryotic LSU rRNA". The stretch from base 308 to 785 matches the Rfam family "Eukaryotic large subunit ribosomal RNA", at positions 665 to 926 of the family's 3401-position model. Lineage: Eukaryota; Metazoa; Arthropoda; Malacostraca; Decapoda; Cambaridae. The record is from RNAcentral.